This 45-nucleotide non-coding RNA is filed under the name Schistosoma mattheei. Lineage: Eukaryota; Metazoa; Platyhelminthes; Trematoda; Strigeidida; Schistosomatidae. The record is from RNAcentral.
AUUCGGCUGACAAGUCCCAAACAGGAUGAGACGCACGUCCUGGAU